GGCCCGUUCGUCUAGUGGCCUAGGACGCCGCCCUCUCACGGCGGAAACAGGGGUUCGAUUCCCCUACGGGCUGCCA
This 76-nucleotide transfer RNA is filed under the name Methyloceanibacter caenitepidi. Its description in RNAcentral is "tRNA-Glu (CTC) (tRNA-Glu-CTC-1-1)". It matches the Rfam family "tRNA". Rfam says of the family: Transfer RNA (tRNA) molecules are approximately 80 nucleotides in length. Their secondary structure includes four short double-helical elements and three loops (D, anti-codon, and T loops). Lineage: Bacteria; Pseudomonadati; Pseudomonadota; Alphaproteobacteria; Hyphomicrobiales; Hyphomicrobiaceae. The record is from RNAcentral. RNAcentral also lists the same sequence under 1 other name.